UACGGAGGAUGCAAGCGUUGUCCGGAAUUAUUGGGCGUAAAGAGCUCGUAGGCGGUCUGUCGCGUCUGCUGUGAAAACUCGGGGCUUAACCCCGGGCCUGCAGUGGGUACGGGCAGACUAGAGUGCGGUAGGGGAGACUGGAAUUCCUGGUGUAGCGGUGAAAUGCGCAGAUAUCAGGAGGAACACCGGUGGCGAAGGCGGGUCUCUGGGCCGUAACUGACGCUGAGGAGCGAAAGCAUGGGGAGCGAACAGG
RNAcentral lists this ribosomal RNA (253 nucleotides) under uncultured bacterium. RNAcentral's name for it is "partial 16S ribosomal RNA". It matches the Rfam family "Bacterial small subunit ribosomal RNA", at positions 524 to 776 of the family's 1533-position model. The record is from RNAcentral.